Small nuclear RNA from Homo sapiens (human), 107 nucleotides. The record is from Ensembl. NCBI's taxonomy places the organism in Eukaryota, Metazoa, Chordata, Mammalia, Primates, Hominidae.
GUGCUUGUUUCAGCAGCACAUAUACUAAGACUGGAAUGAUGUAGAGAAGAUUAGCAUGGCCCCUGAGCAAGGAUGACAUGCAAAUUUGUGAAGUGUUCCACAUUUUU